This 22-nucleotide small nuclear RNA is filed under the name Arabidopsis thaliana (thale cress). RNAcentral describes it as "snRNA_05623". The record is from RNAcentral. Lineage: Eukaryota; Viridiplantae; Streptophyta; Magnoliopsida; Brassicales; Brassicaceae.
UUGAAAAGAGAGUCAAAGAGUG